UAUUAGUUAAGUAAGAAAGGGCGCACGGUGGAUGCCUUGGCACUAGGAGCCGAUGAAGGACGGGACGAACACCGAUAUGUUUCGGGGAGCUGUACGUAAGCGUUGAUCCGGAAAUUUCCGAAUGGGGGAACCCAUCACGUGUAAUGACGUGAGAUCAUUAACUGAAUCAAUAGGUUAAUGAAGGCAGACCUGGGGAACUGAAACAUCUAAGUACCCAGAGGAAGAGAAAGCAAAUGCGAUUUCCUGAGUAGCGGCGAGCGAAACGGAAUCAGCCCAAACCAAGAAGCUUGCUUCUUGGGGUUGUAGGACACAUCAUACGGAGUUACAAAAGUAGAAUUUACACGAAGCGACCUGGAAAGGUCCGCCACAGAAGGUAACAGCCCUGUAGUGAAAAGAUUUUACCCUCCGAUGUGGAUCCUGAGUACGGCGGAACACGUGAAAUUCCGUCGGAAUCCGGGAGGACCAUCUCCCAAGGCUAAAUACUCCCUAGUGACCGAUAGUGAACCAGUACCGUGAGGGAAAGGUGAAAAGCACCCCGGAAGGGGAGUGAAAGAGAUCCUGAAACCGUGCGCUUACAAUUAGUCGAAGCCCGUUAAUGGGUGACGGCGUACCUUUUGUAGAAUGGACCGGCGAGUUACGAUCCCCUGCAAGGUUAAGCCAGAAAAGGCGGAGCCGCAGCGAAAGCGAGUCUGAAUAGGGCGAAUAGAGUAGGUGGUCGUAGACCCGAAACCGUGUGAUCUACCCAUGUCCAGGGUGAAGGUCAGGUAACACUGACUGGAGGCCCGAACCCACGUAUGUUGAAAAAUGCGGGGAUGAGGUGUGGGUAGGGGUGAAAUGCCAAUCGAACACGGAGAUAGCUGGUUCUCUCCGAAAUAGUUUUAGGACUAGCCUCAAGGCAUGUAUCUUGGAGGUAGAGCACUGAUUGGACUAGGGGCCCCUACCGGGUUACCGAAUUCAGUCAAACUCCGAAUGCCAAUGAUAUAACCUUGGGAGUCAGACUGUGGGUGAUAAGGUUCAUAGUCGAGAGGGAAACAACCCAGACCGUCAGCUAAGGUCCCAAAGUAUACGUUAAGUGGAAAAGGAUGUGGCGUUGCACAGACAACCAGGAUGUUGGCUUAGAAGCAGCCACCAUUUAAAGAGUGCGUAAUAGCUCACUGGUCGAGUGACGCUGCGCCGAAAAUGUACCGGGGCUAAACGUAUCACCGAAGCUACGGAUUGAUCUUUGAUCAAUGGUAGGAGAGCGUUCUAAGUGCUGUAAAGUCAGACCGUGAGGACUGGUGGAGCGCUUAGAAGUGAGAAUGCCGGUAUGAGUAGCGAAAAAGAAGUGAGAAUCUUCUUCACCGAAUGCCUAAGGUUUCCUGAGGAAGGCUCGUCCUCUCAGGGUUAGUCAGGACCUAAGUCGAGGCCGAAAGGCGUAGACGAUGGACAACAGGUUGAUAUUCCUGUACCACCUCCUUUUUGUUUGAGCGAUGGGGGAACGCAGUAGGAUAGGGAAAGCGCACGGAUGGAAGUGUGCGUCCAAGCAAUGAGUGAGUCAGAUAGGCAAAUCCGUCUGGCAAUCACAGGUUGUGAUGGGGAGAGAAAUAAAGUAUCGAAGUUCCCGACUUCACACUGCCAAGAAAAGCCUCUAGUGAGAAAAGUGGUGCCUGUACCGCAAACCGACACAGGUAGGCGAGAUGAGAAUUCUAAGGUGAGCGGGAGAACUCUCGUUAAGGAACUCGGCAAAAUGACCCCGUAACUUCGGGAGAAGGGGUGCUUCUCAUUCUGAGAAGCCGCAGUGAAAGGGCCCAAGCGACUGUUUAGCAAAAACACAGGUCUCUGCGAAGCCGCAAGGCGAAGUAUAGGGGCUGACACCUGCCCGGUGCUGGAAGGUUAAGGGGACAUGUUAGCUUUAUAGCGAAGCAUUGAACCGAAGCCCCAGUAAACGGCGGCCGUAACUAUAACGGUCCUAAGGUAGCGAAAUUCCUUGUCGGGUAAGUUCCGACCCGCACGAAAGGUGCAACGACUUGGGCACUGUCUCAACGAGAGACCCGGUGAAAUUAAACUAUGCGUGAAAAUGCGCAUUACCCGCGACAGGACGGAAAGACCCCGUGGAGCUUUACUGUAGCCUGAUAUUGAAUAUUGGCACAAUUUGUACAGGAUAGGUGGGAGCCUUAGAAGCGUGAGCGCUAGCUUACGUGGAGGCGCUGGUGGGAUACCACCCUGAUUGUGUUGAUCUUCUAACCCAGGACCGUGAUCCGGUUCGGAGACAGUGUCAGGCGGGCAGUUUGACUGGGGCGGUCGCCUCCCAAAGAGUAACGGAGGCGCCCAAAGGUUCCCUCAGAAUGGUUGGAAAUCAUUCGUAGAGUGCAAAGGCAUAAGGGAGCUUGACUGCGAGACCUACAAGUCGAGCAGGGACGAAAGUCGGGCUUAGUGAUCCGGCGGUACCGAAUGGAAGGGCCGUCGCUCAACGGAUAAAAGCUACCCCGGGGAUAACAGGCUUAUCUCCCCCAAGAGUCCACAUCGACGGGGAGGUUUGGCACCUCGAUGUCGGCUCAUCGCAUCCUGGGGCUGUAGUCGGUCCCAAGGGUUGGGCUGUUCGCCCAUUAAAGCGGUACGCGAGCUGGGUUCAGAACGUCGUGAGACAGUUCGGUCCCUAUCCGUCGUGGGCGUUGGAAGUUUGAGAGGAGCUGUCCUUAGUACGAGAGGACCGGGAUGGACAUACCGCUGGUGCACCAGUUGUUCCGCCAGGAGCAUAGCUGGGUAGCUACGUGUGGAAGGGAUAAGUGCUGAAAGCAUCUAAGCAUGAAGCCCCCCUCAAGAUGAGACUUCCCAUCUGUAAAGAGUAAGAUCCCUCAGAGACGAUGAGGUAGAUAGGUUCGAGGUGGAAGCAUGGUGACAUGUGCAGCUGACGAAUACUAAUCGAUCGAGGACUUAACUAA
This 2921-nucleotide ribosomal RNA is filed under the name Halolactibacillus halophilus. Its description in RNAcentral is "bacterial LSU rRNA". It matches the Rfam family "Bacterial large subunit ribosomal RNA". The record is from RNAcentral. Lineage: Bacteria; Bacillati; Bacillota; Bacilli; Caryophanales; Bacillaceae.